Long non-coding RNA from Oncorhynchus keta (chum salmon), 201 nucleotides. RefSeq lists it as uncharacterized. The record is from RefSeq and is a predicted model, not a curated record. The transcript is spliced from 3 exons. NCBI's taxonomy places the organism in Eukaryota, Metazoa, Chordata, Actinopteri, Salmoniformes, Salmonidae.
CUCAGUGCUGCCAUCCAGGUUAGGUGGGAUAACUGAACCUCAGUUCUGCCCUCCAGCUUAGGUGGGAUAAAUGUACCAAAGUGCUGUCAUCCAGGUUAGAUGGGAUAACUGAUCCUCAGUGCUGUCAUCCAGGUUAGGUGGGAUAAAUGAACCUAAAUGCUGCCCUCCAGGUUAGGUGGGAUGACUGAUCCUAAGUGCUGC